GUUAGAUUUAUUAUUAUUAGAAAUUAUCAAAUUCUUUUAAAAAUCAAUAAAAAACAUCAAAUAUAUUCGUGUAUAUAUUAUAAGUUGGCAGUUCUAAUGUUGUUGAAAUUAGAUAAAUUAGAAGUAAACAUUUCUCUAUUUACACACCUUGCAUUCCAAAUUCACGAUCAAAAAUCCCACAUCAAAACACGCUCUUCCACAUCAUAAACCUCUCACACAAAACAUUUCCUUACACACAAGUUGUUUACGAGUUUCAAGUGGUCGCGUCACAAGACUCCCUCCAUGAGUAAAAACUACGCAGUAACGUGAAAAGAGAAGCAUGGACGUUCACCCACGCGCGUGGUAUUUAUUACGAAAAAAGAACACAGUGUACCGAGUUACGCGUGGACACUCAUUCUCAGAGUUUGUCUUCGUCGGAGUGCUCGGGACAGAAGGAUGAAAAGAAAAAGGGACGAGGCAAAAAGGCAGGAAAACAGCGUGGAACAAUAACGGUGCACGUUUAUCCUCGGACGACAGAGCACGCGAUGGAUUCCUUUGUAAGUGGACGUCCCCCACCAUCUUGGAAAGCCACUUAAACGCGCCUGCGCAGUUGCAACAUAUGCGUGCACAUACCCAUGGGGAACAUGGACAUCUGCGCGGGAACAGCUGCAAUUGGCGAACGAUCAGUCUGGAUGCAAAGCAUUCCCUGUGGCUAAUUCAAUUUCGAUAACUCAAAUUUGAAGCCCAAUAAUAAAUUUUACAUACUCCAAGCCUUUGAUUUCACCUCCAUCCAUUGCGUCAUUCCGAAUUAAAACAAUCUCCAUUGAACAAAUCAAAAGAAAAGGAAAACCAAGUACUCCAAAGUAGCCGAUCUCGAAAGCGAGAAUUAACGAGCGAUCUCGAAAUCGUGAGGGUUGUCUUAAUUAGAUCGCGACUCCGUCUUCGUCGGUGUUCUUUUUCAAACUCGAGGGCACACGCUGUUGGAAAUCGUUGAAACGAUGCAGAAAUAACGAGAACCGGAAAGGAGAGAGAAAGAAAGAGAAAGAGGAGUUUGAAGUGCAUGGUGGGCCCUCGACCGAUCAAAGCAGAUUCGCAAAGUUGGCCCAAAGAACAAGGAAUACCGAGUGGCUCUCCUCUCGUCGAAUGUAUCAACGAUCAAAGGGUUAAUACGCGUUGGAAACUCCUUUUUUUCCGUUCUCAAAAGGAUUAAUGCAGUUGUUUUGCAAAAUUUUCGUGAUCGAGAAAGAAAAUUAAAAAGUUUAUUGAAAGAAGAAAAUUUUGUAAGAAAUUUAAUAUAUUUUUAAUCAAUAAUUGAAAAGAAAUUGGAAGAAUAAUGGUUAAUAGAUUUUUUCAAGUAAAAAUUUUUUUGUGAAAUAAAAUUCAUGAUUUAUACCGAAUACUAAAAUUUUAUCAAAAAUAAUAGAAAAUGCAGAGAAUCGCAAUAAAAUGGAUGCGACACCUACGCGUGGCUUUUAGUAACCGGAAUAAAAAACGGUAAAUGGUUCUCCAAAAAUAACCCUUACAGUUCUUUUAAGCAGUCUAUAAGACACUUCUUAUAUACGUCUUCGUGCAAAAUUCAUGAGUGCACUUUUAUCUUUCUCAUUCAUAGAAUCCUUACAAAAAAAAAAAGACCAUACGAACCGAGUAAACAAAGUGAAAUAAAAAUAAAAAAUUGCUAUUGCUCAAGAUUUCUGGAUUUAAGUCCAAUAAAAAUUUUAUUGCAACGUUUCAUCAAUAAACACUGCAUUGAGAUCUUCAAACGAUUGCAAUUACAUAAUAAACCUAAGUCUUACGAUAACCUUAACCUUUUGAGAUCUAUAAUUAAAUAUAAAUAAAUAUGAAUAUAUAUAGCUUGCAAUAAAAAUAUACUUCGCAACAAAGUAUAAAGGAGUAAUGAUAUUAUUACAAUCCAACUACAAUAAUCUAUCCGAAUAGGUAAUCUAAACAUAAAAUUUGUUGAAAUUUUAUCUAAACAGACUAAACGUUGAACUUACUAGAAUAAAAUCUAUGCGCAAUCACAUUGAAAAUUGAAUUUUCGAUACAAAAAAAGAAAGAAAGAAAAAACAACAAUGGCGUGCUUUUUAACGUGGCAAGAAGAAGGAAAGAUUUCGAAUAAAAUUUCAAAAAGGAGAAGGAAAAAGAUAAAGGAGCGAAAACUCGAGGUGGAAAAGUCGCGGCCGCAGGCCACUGAGGUCGGCUCGAAAGCACUAAAAAUCCACGCAACAGGUCGUUCUGUUUAGCCGAGGAUCGAGACUAUGCGUUUGUGUCUUCGCCACGCACGUGUUUCCCCUUCCGUCUCGUCUUUGCACGCACGUGUAUCCUCCCACGCACGGAAGUAACCCGUUCCUUGCUCGCCAGUAUAACGAGACACGAAGAGAGGAACAUUGCAAUUCGCAGCUUUGGCUGCUCGAUUCAGUUUCAACCUUAUCAUUUAUAUUCUUCCUCAUCCGGAAACUUUAACUACGUGAUAUUUUAAUAUUUUAAAAUAUUUUAUGUAUAAUAUUUUAUAAAUACUCGGAAGAUUAUUUAUUUUGAAAUCGAUCGAGUUUCUACCAUCUUAAAUAACAUUCUUACUUUCCCAAAAUUAAAAAUAUGUUUCAACUGUGUGCGGUCUUAAUUAUCUUAAAACGAGGUAAAAAUAUUGAAAGAGCAGGAAUACCUCGUUAAUCAGAGAAGUAAGUUGUAAAUUAAUCAGGCUUAUAGGAGCGAUGUUAAUUGCGGCAUGUUGUACCUUGAUGUAAUUAGCUUGGAAGCUCACCUGGACACGCCCAGUGCACCCGGACCAGCGAGAUCAAUUUAGCGUGUGACGUAUAGAUUAUUGCGCGCCUAUGCAACAACGGUUGAUGGUACUCCUCUGUCUCUUCACAAUGCAAACCGUGUGCUUUCGGUGUUCCGAAGCCACUUCCGUUUAACGAGAGGCAUCGAUGAGGGAAACGGAGAGGAGCAAACCAGUUCAGAAAACGUUGAGAAGCGGUAUCGCACGGUAUAUCCCUCCUCUCGGCUAAGGGAAUUUCAAGCUCGGCAGUCUGGCUGGCUCGAAGCGGAUCCACCGGUCUGGAAGGAGGAAGGUCUGCUGGUUUCCCGAUGGAACGGUCCUCUCUCUCUCUCUCCUCGUCCCAGACAUUGGAUAUCUUUGUCUUUAGCCACGGAGGAUCUCGCCAAGGUGUUUCAAAGGAAACAUUAUUCUAACAUGCCCGUUUCGUUCGCCGCCAGUCGGCCUGAUGGAAGUGGAGCAUAUCCUAGCAAUGGAAUAAGAUCGGGUGUGUAAAUAUUUAGAGGCGGAGAGAGCGUUGGUAGAUUUUCCUGAAAAUUUCAUCGUUUUCCCUUCGGAAAUUAGAGGUCCAAUUACGUACAACUAAUGCAUUAUUUCCCUUAUUACCAAAACCCACACGUCAGAAAGAAGAAUCAUUCGACAUGAACGCGUACAAUCAAUUCCAAAUACCCGUUUUCAAAUCCUCUGAAAAUCCCCCGAUUCAAAAUUUCUAAAAAAACGACCGCCAGAUCCAGAAGUGGAAGAAAAGGCGAUAUCCCAGAAGACCAGAGUGCCCCUCCCUUGUCCAAUUACCGGGAAACGGGAAGCUGAGCGGUAAUCGGUGUAUCAUAAGCGCGGGGGAGGAAGGGGUGACGGAGAUAAAGAUAGAUCGCGGGUAUCGGUGUCCGGCAUAAAGGUUCCAAUUAACGGUUACACGCGCGAUACGCGUGUUUGAAGCUGCGUCGAGCGACAACGGGGACACACCGUCGGCCAUUAGGCCUGCGUAACGACGGACCAGAGGGUUGGUACCUCGGUUUGCAGUGAAUGCGCGCGCCCAAAGGGGACGAGGUUUGCGCCGUGCAUACACAGACGAUAAACAACCGGCCCCGUAUAAGGCCUGUACAAACUUGUCAGCGUGGUUGACGAUGAUUUACGAGCGGACUCUCGUUUGAAAGGAACGUGGUGGUGGUGGAGGAGGGCUCCGUAUGAAAUUCUAGCGCUUUCCGCGAUCGAGAAACGCGCGCCGGUAAUUAUCCGGAAAGAGGGGGAUCCUCCAUCUUUUGAAGCGUGGAGACGAGAUUUCGAAUAAGUUUUUCGGCUCUGAGUAAGGUAUAUCGUAGUUUGGAUAUGGAUAUUUGGAAAUUGAAGUUCGUAUGUAUAAGUCGAAGUAGAAGAAUAAUAGAAAAUUUGUAAUUUUUUGGAACUUGGAUCCUUCGUGCACGGAAAAAAAGAAAAAUUGGUCCGAAAUUUCGUGGAGAGAUGUAGCCCUUUGUUUUAAUUAUCGCGAUCAUUUUCGACUGCGGUCGAUUCGUCGAAAGGAUUCGUUCUCGAUGGAGAACAAUGAGCAUUUGUGUUGGAAGCAAGCGAUGAUGAAAAGGGAAUGGGCGAGAGGGAGUAUGUAUGGAAUAUGAUUUGGUGCAUGGGAAUUGUAAAUGGAGGCUGGGAACGUUGGGGGUUGGUUAAUGAUGUUGGGGAUGUGAUAGACUUUGGGAGAAAGUAAUAUCGGCCAAGUGAAAAUAGAAGUAUUAGAUUACAAAUAGAGAAUGCCAAUUUUACGAAUAAAAGCGAUCGAUAAGAAAAUGUUAAAAAAUAUCCGUUAACUUGUAACUUUUGAAGAAGAGAAAUUCUUUGAAAUGCAUUUAACGAGUGAUCAUCGUGGAAUUGUUAUUAUUUUUACGAUAAGAAAUACGAGUAUUUUUGAUAUACAAUCCAAGUACAACAAUAUACGAUUUGUUGAAAUAAAAUCGUCGUCCAAACGGAUUAACCACUCGACUGAUCCAUCUGCAAUCACAUUGAACGUAGGACAGCAAAAGGAUUAAAGAGUGUAUCUGGGAAUUUUCCUUCGUAUCCGGAAUACAAACAAUCUCAAUCGUUGGCCAAACAAUUCUUCGGUUCAAUUCGAACUUGGAACAGAGAAACUUAAAACCGAUCACGAAUCGAGUUAACCGAACACUUAAUCGUGAAAAAAAGGAGAGAAAAGAAGAGAUGAAUUCGCUUUGAAUUCAAUUUGAUAGCUCGCAUAAUUACGACUGCAUCGAUCCGAUCGGGGAAACGGUAUUUCGAAAAAAAAAAUAAAGAAGAAAAAACGUGACGAGGCGUUACGCACCAAGUGUGCCAAGUACAAAAUAUGCGUGCAAUCCGCGUUUAUGCACGUCGAAUCGAAGUCACGGUACGAUGGGAGACAUCGAUGGGAAACAGUUUGGACAUUGUUGGCCAGCCAACAACGUCCCGUGUACAAAUAUGCUCUCAGAUCUGUUCGGAUCAUGGUGCCAUAAAACCUCGAACUUUCAUUCGAUUCUUUCAUGGAUUUAACGGAAAGUAUUAUUCAGUAAUUUCAAAUCAGAUGUUGACUUACUUAAAAGUGUAGAAAGAAAUUUUAAAUUCUCUCUGAAAAUUCAAAAUUCUUUCGAAGGAUGAUCAGUUGUUAUUAUAAAAAAAAAUAUCAAUAAGUUUUUUAUAACAGAAAUAUGAAAUUCGUUGAACCCCGUACACUCAUCUCCACGAUAUCACGUCGAUAUCAAAUCGAUAUCCUCGAUAUUACGGAGAAAUAUCGAUUUCUUGAUACGUAGAAAAAACAAUUGUAGAAGCGAAAACAAGCUCGUGAUGGACGAGCCAUUCAAAAUCAUCGCGAAAAAUAUUCGUCAAGGGUUGAUACAUUAAUACUUGGUUUGCUUUGUUAUCGUAAAAUGGGCGGAUAGAUUCGAUUGAAAGUUCUCCAGUUUUCCACGUUCGGGGCGCGAACGUUCGCAGGACGGGAUCGAAGGCAAUUGUCUCCAGUUAGAUCGGACAGUAAUAGGAUUUUAGCGAUCGGAUACAUCCAACAUCUUGUCACGACUGUCCCCCGCCUUGAACGGCUCGUCUAGUCGAAUGUUAUCGACAGCUCGAAGGGAUGGCUUGAUGCCCUGCACAGCCUUCGACCUGUCGGAUUCAUCGUAGUGGCGAAAUGAAACAAUCCGUGAAACGAAUCCGUGCGAUGAGACUUUACCUCGGCCCACGAACUAUGUCCACUCGAUUCGAGGGAAGGCAAAGUGCCUAUUGAAAUUUUAGUAUGGAAAUCUGCUCGAUGGAAAUUGUUUUCGUUCCAAGAAAUUAUAUUUUCGAUUAAAAACAAUAAUUUGUUUCAAAUUUCGCUGUCGACGCCAAUUCCACAAUUAUUUACUAGAAGAUACUACGCGAGAAAAACCAAUAUUUCCAAAAUAUUUAAAUUUCAAACCGUCUCUCUCCUUAAAUUAUAUCCAGAAAAAAAAAAAGAAGAAAAGAAAGAAGAAAGAAAAUAUGUUUUAACCACCCCUAAUAUACGUAAUACCAUCCCCACCACGCAAAAAAUCGAAACUAGUUUGCACAAAGUUCGUUCACCCGUGCGGGUUCUAUCAUCUAUUUAUCGCGAAAGAGAAAGAGGAAAAAAGAAAAAAAAGGAGAAAAGAUAAGUUUCACGGUAAAAAAAAAAAAAAAGGAAAAAAAGAAAAAAAAACAAGUUGAGCCGGUCGAGCUCCAGCUGGCAACGUCUCGGCCAAAAUCGAUAACGCGAUGAUAAGCCGCUUUGCGGCUGGUUUCUUGCCAGGCCACCUUCUGCCGCAGUUUCCAUCGUCGAUCCUCCACGUUGCGCUUUUCGUGCCAUUGUACCCUUUGUCUCCUCCGCGCCGCUCACGAUCGAGGAACAACCCUCGUCGUGUCGUGCGGGGGUGGCGCGUGCCUCGACUAGGGAAAGAGAGCGACGAUUAAACGGCGUGACGUUCGUUGAUCGACAAAGUAUUAUUCGAGAAUUAUCUUUACAUUUUUGUCGCCAGAUGUUCAAUUUUGUGGCACAUUUUCGUUCAAAUUUCGCAUAAUAUGCAAUUGGUCGCGAAUAUUCGUGAUGUAAAAAUUAUGCAACGAUAGGAAAGAAACUUGAUUGAAUUUUGUACGUGUAAUUGAUUAUAUCAAAAAAUUUAAAAUAACGAACGAAGUGAAGUGGUUUUUAAAUUUGUAAAUUUGAAAAAAGUGCAAUAAUCCAAUUAUUGAAUUAUUGAACUAAAAAGGAUCUUCCUAAAAAGAAUUAAUUCAAACAACAAUUCGCUUGUUGUUAGAUUUUGACAGAAUAACAUUCCCGCAAGCAAUGCUGCUAAAAAUAUCUUUCCUACAAUAAUCCUGACUAACGAUAAUCUUCUCCCCCAAAAACACGAAUAAUUUCUCCGAAAUCCAAUUCCAAAUCUCGCGCUUCCAAAUUACUCCAUGACUCACAUCUCCAAGAACCACCGUCUCACCACCCCAAAUCCAUCCCGAUCGAUUCGACCGAACACAUCCCUCCCCCAACAAGAAAAGAGCCCAUUAAUUAUUCUUCUCCAAAGUUGUUGGAACACACCCCUCCCCCCCAAUAAGAAAACUCUGGAGGAGGAGAAAAACAUCUGGCAAGGGGUGGCGAUUCUUCUUUCCAACCCACUUGAAAUUAAAAGGUAAACGGAACGCGAAGAAUUAAAAGCGGGCAGAAUCCACCCCCUUCCAGCCGAUCGAUCCAUCCCCUUCCCACUAUCACCGCCCUUCUCUCGCAGCCACCACCACCACCAUCACGAUUCGCAACAACUUAUUACGGAUCCACGUGAGAACAGGCUGUGAUCGGGACAAGGGCUCGAGAGACAACGAACGAGUUGCUCUGUCGAGGCUGGUCGUGGGUGGGUCGUUCAUCCCUCAAGAUUUGGAGAAAAUUCCCAAGUGGAGAGGAAGCAUUGAUUAAACGCUGGCCGUUGGGGGUUGAAUGGUGGAUGGUCGAGGGAUGCUGUGCGGAGAUGGUUUAAGGGCGAGUACGAGGGUUCUUCGCACCAAUUUCGAUGUAAGAAGGGUAAAGUUUGGAGAGUUUUUCGGUUGAGGUCGAGUCUAAGAAUUUUGGAAAAAUUUUGGAAGAAGAUCUUUUAUAUAUAUAUAUAUUUUUUAACUUGGACUUGUUUUUCCAAUUUUUGAUAAGCACGAUACGAUGAUGCGAAUUUUUGAUUCAUGGAUGAUUUAAGGAAAAGGUUUCUCGAAACGAAGAUUUUCGAUAAUUCAUUAAAUUCGUUCCAACAAUGAUAACGAUAAUAAAGAAGAGAAGAAAAAUAUAAUUUUCCCUCCAAACUUUUCUUUUCCCAAGAAGCAUUUAUCUUUGUUACCCUAUAUCAUUUCACGAUUGCUCGUGACAUCCACUACCAAAGCCGAAAAAAACCCGCAAAUGGGAAAAUAGACGGAAAUCUACACACGAUAUCGAUACAAACUAUACCAGAAAUCAAGCGUUGUGGAAUUCCAAAUUCGAUUAUCGGGGAAUUUCGAUUGAAUUCAAAGUUUUACGGUCCGUCAAAUUCAAACUGUAUCAAAAAAAAAAAAAAAACACAAGAGAGAGGGGAAAAAAGAGGAAAGAGAAAAGGAAAAUAUAAACAGAAAAAAAAUACCACUCGACCAUGCUUCUGAAUGGUAAAACAAAAAAAUUUCGAUCUCAACGUGCUGCAUACAGUAACUCGUUAAUAUUAAUAUUUGGACGCGUUGUGUGCCAAGGAUUAAUUAUUGCGAAAUAUUCUUUACAGUUGAAUAGAAAUAUAAAUUUUAUCCACUUAAUCCUCAUAGUUCUUUUCGAAUGAAAAGGAUUAAAUAAUCAAGAGAAUCGAAUAUUGCAAUAAUAUUUAAACGAUAAUGAACAACAACACGUUUGUGCAACUCUUAAUGGAUAUAGGGAAAAAAAAAACAAAACAAAAUUUAAAAGCAAAAGGAUUAAACGAAAUUACUUACUCGCACGGAAACGUUGUUACGAACGAAUACGAAUCAUCGCAAAAAAAAAGAGAGACGUCCAAAUACUCGACACGAAUCAUUUACGAUUUCAACGAACGAUUUUUACACACUUUGCGCGCGAGAAAACAAAAACAAAAACCUCGUCGAUAUUGCGCACAGUAAUUCGCGACAGUGAGGGGAGAACGCGCGAGGAAAAACCUCGUCGCUAACGAAAACGAUUCGAGAACGAAUCGUGCGCGGCUCGAGGGGGUAUUUUUCGAGCGGUCGCGCGCCAUUAUCGCCCCUCUCCCCUCCCCUCCCUGCUGUAACCAUGGGUGGAUGGAUGGACGGCCACCACCGACCAUAUUCCUAUUAAUAACCUCGCCCCUUGUCCCCCGAUUUUUUCGAAAAACCGCGGGAAACGAUUCGCCGGAUCGGAAAUAAAUCGGCUCGGCUCGUUCGAAGAUUUUUUAAUCCCGGUUGUCGCGCGACCCUCCAUCGCUCUCCUUCCUAUCUCGCGUCUCUGUCCCGCCACGGAUCGAUCGAGAGAGGGAAAAGAGAAUCGUUGAGGGACGAAAAUGAUCGACUUAUGAAUUGAGUUAAUUGAUUCGAAUUUACUCUUUUCUUUUUCUUUUUUUUUUUUUUUUCGAAAAUUGAUCACGGAUGUGGGGAGAGGAAAUUAACCGGAUUUCCGAAUUUCUGAAUGCGAAAGUUUCGACAUUGGCCUUCCCUCUCUCUCUCUCUCUGUCUCCCUUUCUCUCCCGUGAAAACUGGUUGUGAACUGGUUUCGAGCAUCGAGGCGAAUCGAUGUUCGCCCCUUUGUUUUCUUCGAAUCGUUGUUCCGUAUUCAUUUGAAAAUCAUUUGAAAAAUCCCAGUUUGGAAUAACCGGAGGAGGAAAGGCAAAUGGAGGAAAGGUAAAUUGAUUUUUAUUAUUAUCGUUUGCGACAUUUGCGUUGAAGAAAAAAUAGUCGAUCGUUUGUGUCGAAACGAUUGUUAGAAUAUCGGUAUUUAUAGUUACGAAAUUUCGAUUGUUUCUUGGCUAGAAUUUAUUUCUAAAUAUUUCAGAAAGUAUAAUAAUACACAUUUUCAGAUUGUCGAAAGGAAAAAGGAUUAUUGGAUAUAAUUUCUAAUACUAAAAUGCUAAAACGAUUAAAACAAUAUCAUAUAUAUAUAUAUAUAUACAUAAUGGUUGAUAUUCGUAAGAUCUGGUUAAUAAUCGAAAUUACACGGAUUACAGGAAUUCUAGCAGUUCACAAUGGAAUUUAAUAUUCCAAUUUCUAUUAAUAUAAUUUUCAUCAGAUUACAAACUGCAUCCCAUACAAAACAAUUAUGUCACUA
Long non-coding RNA from Apis cerana (Asiatic honeybee), 9998 nucleotides. RefSeq lists it as uncharacterized. The record is from RefSeq and is a predicted model, not a curated record. NCBI's taxonomy places the organism in Eukaryota, Metazoa, Arthropoda, Insecta, Hymenoptera, Apidae.